This 1077-nucleotide ribosomal RNA is filed under the name Salinicoccus carnicancri. RNAcentral's name for it is "bacterial SSU rRNA". It matches the Rfam family "Bacterial small subunit ribosomal RNA", at positions 392 to 1455 of the family's 1533-position model. Lineage: Bacteria; Bacillati; Bacillota; Bacilli; Caryophanales; Staphylococcaceae. The record is from RNAcentral.
CAACGCCGCGUGAGUGAAGAAGGGUUUCGGCUCGUAAAACUCUGUUGUUAAGGAAAAACGACAGGUAGAGUAACUGCUACCUGUGUGACGGUACUUAACCAGAAAGCCACGGCUAACUACGUGCCAGCAGCCGCGGUAAUACGUAGGUGGCAAGCGUUAUCCGGAAUUAUUGGGCGUAAAGCGCGCGUAGGCGGUCUUUUAAGUCUGAUGUGAAAGCCCCCGGCUCAACCGGGGAGGGUCAUUGGAAACUGGGAGACUUGAGUGCAGAAGAGGAGAGUGGAAUUCCAUGUGUAGCGGUGAAAUGCGCAGAGAUAUGGAGGAACACCAGUGGCGAAGGCGGCUCUCUGGUCUGUAACUGACGCUGAUGUGCGAAAGCGUGGGGAUCAAACAGGAUUAGAUACCCUGGUAGUCCACGCCGUAAACGAUGAGUGCUAAGUGUUAGGGGGUUUCCGCCCCUUAGUGCUGCAGCAAACGCAUUAAGCACUCCGCCUGGGGAGUACGGCCGCAAGGCUGAAACUCAAAAGGAAUUGACGGGGGACCCCGCACAAGCGGGUGGAGCAUGUGGUUUUAAUUCGAAGCAACGCGAAGAACCUUACCAAAUCUUGACAUCCUCUGACCCCCCUGGAGACAGGGGUUCCCUUCGGGGCAGAGUGACAGGUGGUGCAUGGUUGUCGUCAGCUCGUGUCGUGAGAUGUUGGGUUAAGUCCCGCAACGAGCGCAACCCUUAUGACUAGUUGCCAGCAUUGAGUUGGGCACUCUAGUGAGACUGCCGGUGACAAACCGGAGGAAGGUGGGGAUGACGUCAAAUCAUCAUGCCCCUUAUGAUUUGGGCUACACACGUGCUACAAUGGACAGGUACAAAGGGCAGCGAGACCGCGAGGUUGAGCGAAUCCCAUAAAACUGUUCUCAGUUCGGAUUGGAGUCUGCAACUCGACUCCAUGAAGCUGGAAUCGCUAGUAAUCGUGGAUCAGAAUGCCACGGUGAAUACGUUCCCGGGUCUUGUACACACCGCCCGUCCCCCCACGAAAGUCAGUAACACCUGAAGCACGGUGGGCCAACCCUUCUGGGAGGCAGCCG